AUUUCUGAUAAUGUGUAAUUGAGAGUUAUUAGAAAUUUUUAUAUGAAAUAUAUACAAAAAUUAUCUUCUUAGUCAUUAUAUUUAUAUUUAAAUGAUUAUAAUUAAUUUUACAGAAUAUUCUUUAGCGUGUUUUUCGUUUGGGUGGCAUUAGCAACAACUGUCGACAUUAUGCGAAGAUUGCAUAUCAUACCAAAUAAUGAAACCAACUUCUUUAAGAAUAUUAUCUCCGUAUCUGCAUUUACAUCAGGAAAAAAACUUUUUAGUGACACAUUAUGGAAAAGAUCAGCCUCUUUAUGUGGAAUCAAGACUCUCGUAAUAUACGCAAUAGUAUUGGGUCAUAUAACACUUUAUAAUUUCUAUAUGUUUACCGUUUUAGGUAAGUAUAUAUUUAUUUUUUUUUUAUAUUUUUACUCCGUUUUUUAUUGGUGACUAAUAAGCGACGGACAUUCUAUGUCCACAACCGCUCAUUCCUGGAAGGAUUGUUACCAGGUGAAGGAUUUGGCUUAAUGAUUCAAUCCCCACGUCUAAAAAGCCUUGGUAUGAGAUUAAAAAGUGAACCUAGAUCAGCUGGUGCGGAAGCUAAGGAAAUUGGUGGAAUCAGCCAAUAGCGAAUAUUUAUUGUCAUAAGGAGAUUACAAUAAAAGGGGG
This 648-nucleotide long non-coding RNA is filed under the name Androctonus crassicauda. The record is from RNAcentral. Lineage: Eukaryota; Metazoa; Arthropoda; Arachnida; Scorpiones; Buthidae.